This is a long non-coding RNA of Equus caballus (horse), 2173 nucleotides long. RefSeq lists it as uncharacterized. The record is from RefSeq and is a predicted model, not a curated record. Lineage: Eukaryota; Metazoa; Chordata; Mammalia; Perissodactyla; Equidae.
CUCCUUUAUUGUACAUAGAUUACUUUUCAUGUAUCUUUUCUGAUUAUUACUAGUGUGUAGGAAAUCUAUUAAUUUUAUCGUAUAUAUUUUUUCCCUCUACUUACCUUUUGAGCAGUCUUACCAGUUCCUAUCAUUCCUUUUUUCUUCUCUAGGAUUUUCCAAAUCAUUAUAUACGUAACAUGUUUUUUAAGUGUUGCAAUAUUAAAAUCAUCUUACGACUUCAAGGUGUCACUGGGAAUACUUCCUGGACCUCACAACACAGACUAAUUCAAACAGACCCCUGCUCUAAACCCUAGCCUCAGUUCUUGAAAUACUGUUGGAGGAAGUCAUCAAGAGUACGUGACUGCCAGUUGACCUGAGAGCUGGACCCAGGCAAUUGGAGGCUCCUUAACUUUCCCCUGCCUUGGGAAUGGACGUUCCACCCACUAUUCCCACUCUUGGAGGCAUUUCAGGGAUGCAGCUUGAGAUAAUAAUGUGUUGUUGAGACCAUCCGGACAGUAUACGCAACUGAACCCAGAAUAGAGAACAAGAUUGGAGAGGCUCUUGUUUCAAUCAUCAAAAGGCCCAAGUUACUUAAUAAUAAAAAUUGUUUUUUCAGUCUAACCUGUGAAAAAUCGCAAAGAUAUAAACUGAAGAAGUUAAUAAUCUUCUUGCACAUCCUUUCUCUUCCACAGUGCAGAUAUUGAAAAGGUACAUACUUGUGAUCCUGGAUAGCAAAACCCAAUGUUAUAUUGAUGUUAUCUUCUCUCAAAUACAUCUACAUUGUUUUGGCAAUUUCAAUUUAACACUCUAUUAUGCCUCUGGAAAUUCGUCAAAGUGAUAUUAAAGUUCAUCUGUAAGACUAAAUGGGUGACGAUGUUUAAAAAUACAAAAUACAAGAAGAGCAAUGAGGUAUAUUUAAAGUAUCAAAUAAAUUGUAUUCUAAAGCUAUAAUGAAUACAGGAAUGCAGCACUGGCACAGAAAUCGACAGAUAGCUGAACUGAUCUUAUUGUUCAGAGUUAAGCAAAUUCACUAAUGUUUUUCCAUAGUCCCUAAAAUAUUGUUGAUAACUUUGCUUCUAGCUAUCUUACAAAUUUUCUUUCUAUUGCAAAUGAACAUAUUUUUCCAUCAUACUAUUUAAUUUCUUAUUGCUGUUAUAUAGGAAAGCUGUUGAUUUCAGUAUAUUUAAUUUUGCUUAUGCACCUAACUGAACUAUCUUAGUAGUGCUCAUCAUUUUCAGUUCAUGCUAGGAUGAUGGUCAUGUUAUCUAUGUCACAGAUCCAGUGUAACAUUAAAACCAAGCCACAGCCUCAUUGUCAUAGUCAGUAAGUGGUAUCUAUUGUCCAAUCACACUCUGUCCUAACUACCCACUAUAGUCUUUUUGACAUGGUUUACUAACCCUAGUAUUUACCAUCAUAUCCCAGAAGACGUGGUUAACGUCUAUAAUCAGUUGACUGUAGGGAAAGUAAAUUACCCUCCAUAAUGUGGAUGGACGUCAUCCAAGCUGUUGAAGGCCUUAAGAACAAGAACUGAAGCUUCUUGGAGGAGAAAUUUUGCCUCAAGACUGCAACCUCAGCUACUAGCCAAGUCUGCUGACCUGCUUUAGACUUCAAAUAUGCCUGCCUCACAAUCUGGAAAGCAUGUAGUGCUGAAGUCCCUGCAGCCUUUUCUGAAGAACCUGUGUAUCCCCACAGUGGAGCCAGCAUUGGGUCACCAGCCACACAGGACAUUUACAACUGACAGAAAACGAAAACUCCGACCAGCUAAAUAAGUAGGCUUUUCCCCCUUUCCUUUCAACCACUUUCCUCACUCUGAUCCUGGGGAAAAAUGGAAAAGAAUAAAGAAAAAGCAAAAUACACAGGCCACUUCCUCCUCUCAACUGCAGGAACCCAAGGCAGAUGUCAGGCCUGAACUUGGAGAGAAGGAUGAGCACAGGAUAGGGGAGAAGCUUUGUAUUGGAUGUGAGAUUGCAAUUUUAAUUUGGACUGGGCUGGACUUUCGAAUCCCUGAAAGUGAGCCAUGGGAAUUUUUUUUAUAACCCUCUGUGACCAAAACUGUGGAAUCGGUGCUUCCAGUGGUGGAGCAGGGAGGUCCUUCAGAGCAGAGAAGAGAACAGUAUUUGGAGAAAGAUAGAGUCAUUUCCUUUUUGUGUCUUAUCACAGUCCAGUUAAUAAACUGAUUGCAUUUGUGGAA